RNAcentral lists this ribosomal RNA (484 nucleotides) under uncultured bacterium. RNAcentral describes it as "partial 16S ribosomal RNA". It matches the Rfam family "Bacterial small subunit ribosomal RNA", at positions 30 to 507 of the family's 1533-position model. The record is from RNAcentral.
AUUGAACGCUGGCGGCAGGCCUAACACAUGCAAGUCGAGCGGACGAAGGGAGCUUGCUCCUGGCUUAUGCGACCGACGGGCGAGUAAUGCAUAGGUAUAUGCCUGGUAGUGGGGGCUAACGUCCGGUAACGGGAGCUAAUCUCGCAUACGUCCUGAGGGUGAACGUCGGGGUUCUUCGGACAUCACGCUUCUUGCUGUGCCUAGGUCGGAUUAGCUAGUUGGUGGGGUAAAGGCCUACCAAGGCGACGAUCCGUAACUGGUCUGAGAGGAUGAUCAGUCACACUGGAACUGAGACACGGUCCAGACUCCUACGGGAGGCAGCAGUGGGGAAUAUUCGACAAUGGGCGAAAGCCUGAUCCAGCCACGCCGCGUGUGUGAAGAAGGUCUUCGGAUUGUAAAGCACUGUAAGUUGGGAGGAAGAUCAGUAAGUGAAAACCUUCCAAUCUUGACGUUACCAACAGAGAAAGCACCGGCUAACUUCGUG